This 1629-nucleotide long non-coding RNA is filed under the name Gopherus agassizii (Agassiz's desert tortoise). Its description in RNAcentral is "lncRNA (ENSGAGG00000002855.1)". Lineage: Eukaryota; Metazoa; Chordata; Testudines; Testudinidae. The record is from RNAcentral.
AUGAAUCAAAAUGUAAGAUCAGCGAUACUCUGCAAUGACUUCUUCAGGCAAGUUUUGGUUGGGCUGUGGGUUUCCAGUUGUCACCAGGGUAAAUAUCAAAAUAACUUCUGUCCUAUUUACGAAGUUCUAUUGUUCUCCUUUUGCACAGUGUUAAUGAUCCUUCUUCAUGCAGUUAAAGGCUCACUUCUAUUCCAUUCUGAAAUGCUUGGUUGGUGACUAUAGUCACAAAGGGGAGCAGUACUUCCUUCCAGCAUGAAGUGUUCUUAUACUGUACCAUGACACACAGCGGCAGAAAUUCAAGACUUCUCUGAUGUUAAAACUGAGUCAAAGGCUGUUGAUAACACUUUGCAAAUAGCUUGUGCUUGUUCCUGUGUUGUGUAACACCAUAAAAAUCAGUUAAUCGUGCUCAAAAGCAUAUUUUCACUAGCAUUUUCUUAAGUGCUCUGGCUAUUACAUGAUGUAUUUCAGCAAAAACUCCCAUCUGUUAAACUUCAAGCAGAACAUGAUUUACAUAAUGUUUUCAGCGCUUAUACAGACUGAAACAGGAGAGCUGUGUGUUAAAUUCUAUUGUUUGCAAUUAUGCCUGCAGACAUCUCCGUUUUAAAAUAACUUAGGUGUGAAAAAAAGACAAUUUUUAGUCUUUUAUUAUUUAUGUUUAUAGGGUGUAACCAGCAUCCUAAAGUUACUCCACUUGCUCCUUUAUGCCUUUGCCAAACCAUCUGAAGCGUUGGUAGCAUGGAGACUAGAAAGCAUAUACUACCACGAUACUCUGGCAUUCUCUCAUCUGCUGCUUUCCUUAAUAUACCACAGGAGGCGAUCAGCUCCUCCAAUGGCAAUAUAAUGCCAGACUGAACGCAUAGUGCCACUGAUACGAUAGCCCUGCCCUGCUGGAGGAACAGAGCAAACAUGGAGAGGGAAAAAGACUGUUGUAUUUGCAUGUACAAAGUGGAGCGCUCUCUGACCGCUAUCUUUACCAGUGAUCAGGCGUAGCACAGCAGAUUGGGCAUCAUCAGCUACACUAUAAUUGCUUCACUGAUUAAAUAGGUUUUUGCCUAGUCAGUCAACGUUUUACUAGUUGAAGACAACUGGGCACAACUCCUUUUGUUGCCAGUACAUCCUUUUUUACUUAUUUUUUAGGAAGUACAACUAUUAUCCAUAAGGAUGGGAGAAUUGCAUAUUCCAAGGGAUACUACCUAAAGAACUAAGGAAAAGGCUGGUCAUAUGAUACCUUUGUAAUUUUAGAGCAGUAAAGGUAGUGAUUCUCAAACAAAGUUAAUCCACUGCAUCCUAUGAUUUUUUCCCCCUUAAAUAUGGAGCCAUUUAUUCUCUGUGAAACCAGUUAACCCUUCAGCUGCCAGAAGGCUGUGAUUAUGCAAGAGGUGCUACACCUGGGCUGUCCCAUACAACAGUGCAGAAUGUUACCACUGGGUUUCUGUGCUGUUAAAAAUACCAUGUUCUAAGUGUGAAGCAUGAAGGUAAUGAAGUUAGACACCAGAAUGUAUUGGUACCUAAAUUAAGAACUGUAAACAUGAAUUCUUACCAGACUAUUACACUGAUACACCCAGAGACUGUAUUCUUCAUAACCUGCAUCUGUCGUCUUCAAAGCCAAUAAACUCUUUCCUGCUCCCA